Molecule: ribosomal RNA, 309 nt
Filed under: Mesalina pasteuri (Pasteur's lizard)
Lineage: Eukaryota; Metazoa; Chordata; Lepidosauria; Squamata; Lacertidae
Description: partial large subunit ribosomal RNA
Rfam family: Bacterial large subunit ribosomal RNA
Source: RNAcentral
AGACGAGAAGACCCUGUGGAGCUUCUAAACCAAAACCAAAUAUAUGCCCCUUGGUUUUUAGUUGGGGCAACUUCGGAGUACAAACAAACCUCCGACAAACCACAAAUCAAGACAAACAAGUCAAAACCCCACUUGACCCACUAGUCUAGCAGACUAUUUGACCAAUGAACCAAGUUACCCCAGGGAUAACAGCGCUAUCCUCUUUUAGAGUCCCUAUCGACAAGAGGGCUUACGACCUCGAUGUUGGAUCAGGACACCCCAAUAAUGCAGCCGUUAUUAAAGGUUCGUUUGUUCAACGAUUAAAGUCCU